RNAcentral lists this ribosomal RNA (496 nucleotides) under uncultured bacterium. RNAcentral's name for it is "partial 16S ribosomal RNA". It matches the Rfam family "Bacterial small subunit ribosomal RNA", at positions 28 to 506 of the family's 1533-position model. The record is from RNAcentral.
GAUGAACGCUGGCGGCGUGCCUAAUACAUGCAAGUCGAGCGAACGGACGAGAAGCUUGCUUCUCUGAUGUUAGCGGCGGACGGGUGAGUAACACGUGGAUAACCUACCUAUAAGACUGGGAUAACUUCGGGAAACCGGAGCUAAUACCGGAUAAUAUUUUGAACCGCAUGGUUCAAAAGUGAAAGACGGUCUUGCUGUCACUUAUAGAUGGAUCCGCGCUGCAUUAGCUAGUUGGUAAGGUAACGGCUUACCAAGGCAACGAUGCAUAGCCGACCUGAGAGGGUGAUCGGCCACACUGGAACUGAGACACGGUCCAGACUCCUACGGGAGGCAGCAGUAGGGAAUCUUCCGCAAUGGGCGAAAGCCUGACGGAGCAACGCCGCGUGAGUGAUGAAGGUCUUCGGAUCGUAAAACUCUGUUAUUAGGGAAGAACAUAUGUGUAAGUAACUGCGCACAUCUUGACGGUACCGAAUCAGAAAGCCACGGCGAACUACGU